Long non-coding RNA from Rhincodon typus (whale shark), 158 nucleotides. RefSeq lists it as uncharacterized. The record is from RefSeq and is a predicted model, not a curated record. The transcript has 3 exons. NCBI's taxonomy places the organism in Eukaryota, Metazoa, Chordata, Chondrichthyes, Orectolobiformes, Rhincodontidae.
AGGACCAAGUCUUCUGCAGACGCAUUGCUUUUUGCCAAAGCAAAUUCUCCCUUGGAAUACCCCAUUCAAGGUGUUGAAGUGAGACCUCUGAAAACCAUCUUAAUACCAGGUUUGAAGCUGCAAGCUGAACCUCAGCAACGUUUUGAGGUCAAACUGAC